GUGCUAAACAUGCAAGUCGAGCGGACAGAAGGGAGCUUGCUCCCGGAUGUUAGCGGCGGACGGGUGAGUAACACGUGGGUAACCUGCCUGUAAGACUGGGAUAACUCCGGGAAACCGGAGCUAAUACCGGAUAGUUCCUUGAACCGCAUGGUUCAAGGAUGAAAGACGGUUUCGGCUGUCACUUACAGAUGGACCCGCGGCGCAUUAGCUAGUUGGUGGGGUAAUGGCUCACCAAGGCGACGAUGCGUAGCCGACCUGAGAGGGUGAUCGGCCACACUGGGACUGAGACACGGCCCAGACUCCUACGGGAGGCAGCAGUAGGGAAUCUUCCGCAAUGGACGAAAGUCUGACGGAGCAACGCCGCGUGAGUGAUGAAGGUUUUCGGAUCGUAAAGCUCUGUUGUUAGGGAAGAACAAGUGCGAGAGUAACUGCUCGCACCUUGACGGUACCUAACCAGAAAGCCACGGCUAACUACGUGCCAGCAGCCGCGGUAAUACGUAGGUGGCAAGCGUUGUCCGGAAUUAUUGGGCGUAAAGGGCUCGCAGGCGGUUUCUUAAGUCUGAUGUGAAAGCCCCCGGCUCAACCGGGGAGGGUCAUUGGAAACUGGGAAACUUGAGUGCAGAAGAGGAGAGUGGAAUUCCACGUGUAGCGGUGAAAUGCGUAGAGAUGUGGAGGAACACCAGUGGCGAAGGCGACUCUCUGGUCUGUAACUGACGCUGAGGAGCGAAAGCGUGGGGAGCGAACAGGAUUAGAUACCCUGGUAGUCCACGCCGUAAACGAUGAGUGCUAAGUGUUAGGGGGUUUCCGCCCCUUAGUGCUGCAGCUAACGCAUUAAGCACUCCGCCUGGGGAGUACGGUCGCAAGACUGAAACUCAAAGGAAUUGACGGGGGCCCGCACAAGCGGUGGAGCAUGUGGUUUAAUUCGAAGCAACGCGAAGAACCUUACCAGGUCUUGACAUCCUCUGACAACCCUAGAGAUAGGGCUUUCCCUUCGGGGACAGAGUGACAGGUGGUGCAUGGUUGUCGUCAGCUCG
This 1034-nucleotide ribosomal RNA is filed under the name Bacillus pumilus. Its description in RNAcentral is "bacterial SSU rRNA". It matches the Rfam family "Bacterial small subunit ribosomal RNA", at positions 44 to 1062 of the family's 1533-position model. The record is from RNAcentral. Lineage: Bacteria; Bacillati; Bacillota; Bacilli; Caryophanales; Bacillaceae.